Molecule: ribosomal RNA, 520 nt
Filed under: Tetragonurus cuvieri
Lineage: Eukaryota; Metazoa; Chordata; Actinopteri; Scombriformes; Tetragonuridae
Description: partial 16S ribosomal RNA
Rfam family: Bacterial large subunit ribosomal RNA
Source: RNAcentral
UGACUAUAUGUUUAACGGCCGCGGUAUUUUAACCGUGCGAAGGUAGCGCAAUCACUUGUCUUUUAAAUGAAGACCUGUAUGAAUGGCACAACGAGGGCUUAACUGUCUCCUUUUUCAGGUCAAUGAAAUUGAUCUCCCCGUGCAGAAGCGGGUAUAUAUACAUAAGACGAGAAGACCCUAUGGAGCUUUAGACACCAAGGCAUUUCAUGUUAAACACCCUUUUACAAUAGGCUAAACCAAAUGAACCGUGCCCCUAUGUCUUUGGUUGGGGCGACCGCGGGGAAACAAAAAACCCCCACGUGGAAUGGGAGCACUGCCUCCUACAACCAAGAGCUGCAGCUCUAGUAAACAGAAAUUCUGACCAUCAGAUCCGGCAAUGCCGAUCAACGGACCGAGUUACCCUAGGGAUAACAGCGCAAUCCCCUUUUAGAGCCCAUAUCGACAAGGGGGUUUACGACCUCGAUGUUGGAUCAGGACAUCCUAAUGGUGCAGCCGCUAUUAAGGGUUCGUUUGUUCAACG